RNAcentral lists this ribosomal RNA (240 nucleotides) under uncultured bacterium. Its description in RNAcentral is "partial 16S ribosomal RNA". It matches the Rfam family "Bacterial small subunit ribosomal RNA", at positions 111 to 334 of the family's 1533-position model. The record is from RNAcentral.
UAACACGUAAACAACCUGCCUUAAGGAUGGGGAUAACAGACGGAAACGACUGCUAAUACCGAAUACGUUCUAAGCAUCGCAUGGUGCAUAGAAGAAAGGGUGGCCUCUACAAGAAAGCUAUCGCCUUAAGAGGGGUUUGCGACUGAUUAGGUAGUUGGUGAGGUAACGGCUCACCAAGCCGACGAUCAGUAGCCGGUCUGAGAGGAUGAACGGCCACACUGGAACCGAGACACGGUCCAA